RNAcentral lists this ribosomal RNA (444 nucleotides) under uncultured Pseudomonas sp. RNAcentral's name for it is "bacterial SSU rRNA". It matches the Rfam family "Bacterial small subunit ribosomal RNA", at positions 939 to 1382 of the family's 1533-position model. The record is from RNAcentral. Lineage: Bacteria; Pseudomonadati; Pseudomonadota; Gammaproteobacteria; Pseudomonadales; Pseudomonadaceae.
AUGUGGUUUAAUUCGAAGCAACGCGAAGAACCUUACCAGGCCUUGACAUGCAGAGAACUUUCCAGAGAUGGAUUGGUGCCUUCGGGAACUCUGACACAGGUGCUGCAUGGCUGUCGUCGGCUCGUGUCGUGAGAUGUUGGGUUAAGUCCCGUAACGAGCGCAACCCUUGUCCUUAGUUACCAGCACGUUAUGGUGGGCACUCUAAGGAGACUGCCGGUGACAAACCGGAGGAAGGUGGGGAUGACGUCAAGUCAUCAUGGCCCUUACGGCCUGGGCUACACACGUGCUACAAUGGUCGGUACAAAGGGUUGCCAAGCCGCGAGGUGGAGCUAAUCCCAUAAAACCGAUCGUAGUCCGGAUCGCAGUCUGCAACUCGACUGCGUGAAGUCGGAAUCGCUAGUAAUCGUGAAUCAGAAUGUCACGGUGAAUACGUUCCCGGGCCUU